CACGUAGGGGCCAAGCGUUGUCCGGAUUUAUUGGGCGUAAAGAGCUCGUAGGCGGUUCGGUAAGUCGGGUGUGAAACCUCCAGGCUCAACCUGGAGACGCCACCCGAUACUGCUGUGACUGGAGUCCGGUAGGGGAGCGUGGAAUUCCUGGUGUAGCGGUGAAAUGCGCAGAUAUCAGGAGGAACACCAGCGGCGAAGGCGGCGCUCUGGGCCGGUACUGACGCUGAGGAGCGAAAGCGUGGGGAGCGAACAGG
RNAcentral lists this ribosomal RNA (254 nucleotides) under uncultured bacterium. RNAcentral describes it as "partial 16S ribosomal RNA". It matches the Rfam family "Bacterial small subunit ribosomal RNA", at positions 524 to 776 of the family's 1533-position model. The record is from RNAcentral.